CAAUAGCGUAUAUUAAAGUUGUUGCGGUUAAAAAGCUCGUAGUUGGAUCUCGGCAGGCAGGGGGUGGUUCGCUCUUAGCGCUACUGCCCCAUUUGCCUGUGUGAUUGGCGGAGGUUUCGGGGUGCUCUUCGUUGAGUGACCCGGGGCGCCGUCAGGUUUACUUUGAAAAAAUUAGAGUGCUCAAAGCAGGCUUUUCACGCUUGAAUAUUCGUGCAUGGAAUAAUGGAAUAGGAACUCGUUUCUAUUUUGUUGGUUUUCGGAAAUCGAGUUAAUGAUUAAUAGGGACAAUUGGGGGCAUUAGUAUUCAGACGACAGAGGUGAAAUUCUUGGACCGUCUGGAGACUAACUACUGCGAAAGCAUUUGCCAAGAGUGUUUUCAUUAA
This 383-nucleotide ribosomal RNA is filed under the name uncultured eukaryote. RNAcentral describes it as "partial 18S ribosomal RNA". It matches the Rfam family "Eukaryotic small subunit ribosomal RNA", at positions 592 to 976 of the family's 1831-position model. The record is from RNAcentral.